This 249-nucleotide long non-coding RNA is filed under the name Theobroma cacao (cacao). RNAcentral's name for it is "long non-coding RNA (TCAC_LNC002274)". The record is from RNAcentral. Lineage: Eukaryota; Viridiplantae; Streptophyta; Magnoliopsida; Malvales; Malvaceae.
UUUUUUUUCUUUUCUUUUCCUCUCUUUUUCUUUUUGACUUUAUUUUAUCUUUCGAAUUUGAUUUAUUGUUUCUUAAGACUUUGGGUGCCUGGAUAGAAUAAUACUUCUUCUUUUUUCAUUGAAGACCCAAAAGUAUCUUCCAUGUGUAUGUUGUUCAAUUCACAAUUUUUUUCGAAUUAAUGGAUGAAGUGAUUAAUUUUUUUAAUCACUAUGCUAAUGAGGACAUGAUAGUGGAGGACGAAAGUCAUG